Molecule: long non-coding RNA, 4103 nt
Organism: Dermochelys coriacea (leatherback sea turtle)
Lineage: Eukaryota; Metazoa; Chordata; Testudines; Dermochelyidae
Exons: 3
Source: RefSeq, a predicted model, not a curated record
UCAGGCAAUAGUGUAGCUCUCUUGUAGCUGCUAUGACUACUUUGUUCCUGAACUUCUGGUGUUGCCCAUUAGCUUGAUUUGGACCUUGCCUCCUGACUUGGAUUCUGACCCUUGAUAUCCACCCUGGCUUGGAACCUGCCUAUGACCUUCUCUACUACUCCUAGCCUCAGUCUUUGAGUGAAUUCAGGGCACGUGGAAGAUGCCAGAUGGACAGCUGGGAAUGUUAAAGGGCUGCAGGGUCCUGCUGCCAUUUACAAGCCCCCGACCAAGUGACCUGCUGUUCUGCAGCCAGCUGAUCAAAGCCAGCACAGCUGUGGUUUUGACCUCUGCCAGCAGAGGGGACAACUGCCACAUCCCUUUCACAUGGAUGUACCCUCCCCUUUUUAUCUUGGCCUCAUGACAUCAUCUGACCCUUCCUGCACUCAGACUUCAGCUUGCAACAAGACAGACUAUUGCAUAACUCUUCAUUGGACAGAGAGGAGGAAUGGGCACACCAUGGGUGCUGGGAAGCAUAGAUUCUUUUGCCCUUUUGUUUUAUUGCAGCACACCUAGCUAGCAUAGGGUCUGGGUUUUACUUCUUUGCUCAUUCAGCUAUACCUCUUGGGCAAAUUGGCUUGAUUGCUCCCCAAGAAGGCAAGUAGUACCCCAAAGACCGCACUCAUUUACCUAUCAUUUCCAGUGUUAGUUAGGAAUCAAGGCCCAGGCCACGAGCCAAGCUUGAACCCAGAUCCUACUCUACCAAAGCACAGACCUUUACCAACCAAAGUCUUGGCCUGUAGCAUCUCUCUCAGAGGUAGGAAGGUAAGAGCCCACUUUGUCUCCCAGAUCCCUGGGCUAGUUGGUGUAAUCAAAGGGAUAUGAACCCAAGAAAGCUUCAACACUAAAGUGCAGACCUCUUGGCCACUUGAGCUGAAGGACUAACCCCAUCAGCUAGCAGCAGUAGCAGCCAGUUAUCCUCUGAACUAGCUAUGGAGGUGGGAUGUGUAACAUGCUUCAUAAGCAAGUUACACUUUUUCUUAACUCCCCAAAUAAACUGUGCCUUGUCCCCUUGGAAUACAAACAGGAAGCAUAUUCCUGGGAUAAAGAGGAGUAUUAACCACUACAGGAGAUGUUACAGAACAGAUCUGGAAGCAGGGAGGACUCAGUCUAGGACCUGUGGUGCACAAAGUGUGUUGCUUCAUCCCCCCCUAAGAUUGACUUAGAUGGCUCUCUGUAUAUCAAGCAUGGAAAAUCCUUACCCCUGCAGACUCAGUUCAACUUUGUGUAACCCGUUCCUUAACACAGUGAGCGUCUUUGUCCCCCUCGAGAGGCUCUUCCACAGAGGUUCUUGACUUGGCUAAUGUAUGCAGCAAAUGGGGUUAGAGCCACAUCCCCAGAGGUUCUUGGGUGCUGGAGUCCCAUUGAUUUCAGAGGGAGUUAGGCACCUAAAUAUCUCUUGAGCAUCUGAGCUUUAGCUUACACAACAAUGACUCAUGCUUUUAGAUCAAGACAUCCUGUGGUCAAGCCCCACCUAGCAGACCAUCCCGCUUAUCUAAACCCUCCAGUCUCAGCUUCCCUCCUAAGCUCUGUUCUUCAAUAGGACCCACUUGUGUGCUUAGUUAAGCCCAGGUUGCAUGUUUUGCUGGAUUGGGGCCAUAGAGAGAGGCAGGGUCUUGUUGCAGAAGAUGCUGCUUUCAAAGAUAUCCUCAGUGAUAACGAGAGUGGGGGCAGGGGAGAGAAGCCAACAGUCUCUCAAUGGAAUGUUGCCCCAUCUUCUUGGUGCAACUCCAGUGGGGUCAGCAACAUUGUGUCUGUCUUAGCUCUGAAUUCCUUCACUCUGCUGCUCCAAAUGUAACUGUCAUGUGCAAGACCAUCAAUCUUCCAAAUUAAAGAACAAGGAGAGGAAUUUCUGCAGCUGCCAAAAGGCUGAAUGCAGAGAAGUUGAGCACCAGCCUUUGUGCUCCCUUGGCAGGAGUAGGUGAAAAUGACAGGUGGGAAUUUUUUCCUGGCCAAAAAAUAAAUAAAUAAAAAUUAAAUUAAAAGUGAAAUCUUCCCAGAAUUACAAAAUCAGGCUCUGCUGGGCAAUCUGGAUUCCUUUAAGGGUUGUCAACACCAGAAGGUACAUUUGGUUUAGUUAAAUUACUCUAGUUUAAAUUGAUGUCAAAUUGCAUUAGUACAAUUGGCGCAACUUCCUGUGUGAACCCCGUUUAUGGUAACUUUUUUUUCUAAACUGAAAUAAGCCUCGUUUGAGUCAAAAUAAGAUUGACUGUCUACACAGCCUUUUGCACCAACUUAAUGAAAUUGGUUUCAAAUCAUACUUUGUAAAACUGGUGCAACCCUGUGUAUAGACAAGUGCUUAACUUGUCAGGGCUUGUACAUUUCAGUACUACUUCAGGGCCCAUGAGUAGUUUGCAUGAGUGACACUAUGACCCCAUGUGCCAGGUUGCAAGGCCACACCCUCAAAUUUGGAGGGGGUUGGUGUAGGGGCUUAUGUGGGUCAGGCUGCUAGUGAGGGCCUGCCUAAGAGGCAAAGAGGAAGAUCAGUUAUGGGAGGGGUGGGGGUGGCAAAUUUGUCUUCCUCCCCCCUGGGCACACAUUAAAUGGCAUUCUGCAGGUUGGGGUGUCAGUUUGGGUAACAACCCCCCCAGUCGUCAUAGAAGUCCUACUAUUCAACCCCCCAGCAUUAAUGCACAGACCUCAGCCACUUGAGCUAAUGGAGCACUGCUAAUGCUAACGGUAGCCUGUUACCCUGUAUGUGGACCAGUCACUAAAGGGGGGUGCGCACACACUUUAAAAGUGCCUUACGUUUGUAGGGCUAGCAGCUAAAAGAAAAAUAUCUGUAACGUGAGCAGAUUGGAGUGGGAGUCAUUAGGAUUCCAAGCACAUAGCCCAAAGGGCAAUCUUGCAGAGUUACCUUUCAUGGUAAGAAUUGUACUUUAAAGUGACAUGAAGACAGGUGGAAAUAAAAUAGGCUUGACAUAAAUGUUGCAUGAAUGAAUAGAGCUGUCUUGCAUCGAGCCCUGAGAAACUCAGCAGAUACAGUUUGCUAGGGAUCCUGCAAAGGCGUUCUUCCAGUUUUGUUUGUGUGAAGUUCUCAGUUCCUGGGUUUUGCCAAAAAAAAAAAAAAAUCACUGUUUACAUGAGACUUGCAAUUACAUUCAUACCUAGUUGUAAGGCUCCUUUGCACUGCCAGAGUGGUGUAAAAAGAGUCCGGUGUGAAUGAAACCAAGUUUUUGCCUAGUUUUUGGAUCGGCCUUCCCCCGCCUCAACCCAAGUUACAUAUUGGCUUCUACUAAAUUGAAUCAUCAGCUUUCUAGGUGGCAGCAUGGUCCAGUGAAUUGGCUUCUACUAUAGUUUCUGAGACCUAGUUCUAUUCCUAGCUCUGCUACUAAUGCGCUCUUGCAGCGGUUACUUUUAUCUCUGUAGUUUUUGUUUCACCUCCCAUGGCCUAUUUAAAUUGUAAGCUCUUUGACGUAAGGUUGGGGGGUUUGUUCACUAAGUUUAGCAGCACCUAGCACAUUGGACCUCAGUUAUGCACCUGUAGGUGCUACUGCAGUGUAAACAAUAAGAGGAAGACCAAAAGAGCUGACCUGGACUGAACUUAGAGGAAAGCUAUUCUAGCAACUCCAAUCUAGAUGCUUUGCGUCAGAUUCUGAUCUGUUACACCAGUGGAGCGGCGGAAUAAUUUUAUUCAAGUCAGUAGUUACACAAGUGUGACCGAAAUUGGGACUUGUGCCUUUAAUUAAAGGAUUGUGUGCAGCCACAGACUCCAGCAUGCUAAGCUCUCUUUGCUAGCCUCCAAAUGGAACUAAGUCAGCUGGCCACUUUUGUUGUGUAUUACAAUGCUAUAGCUGUAAUCCCUUGGGACUUGGCAAUAAAAAUAGACAAUAAAUCAGUGGUUCCAUCACCCAACUCCAGGUUGUCUGUGUAGUCUCCCACUUCUGCUUUACUCAGUCAAGUCAUUUGGCCUCCCAAAGGAGCCAUAUGGGCUGUAUGAGAAUGUCUCAGGCGCAAGGACUGUAACCCUUACUCCAUCCAGGACUUCAGUUCCAAACCUCUGUCCUCGCAAAUGGCAAAGGAAAACAAUUCUUAUUGGGGGUGGAAAGAGAUUAGAGCACUCCUAA